RNAcentral lists this long non-coding RNA (1195 nucleotides) under Elaeis guineensis (African oil palm). RNAcentral's name for it is "long non-coding RNA (EGUI_LNC013449)". The record is from RNAcentral. Lineage: Eukaryota; Viridiplantae; Streptophyta; Magnoliopsida; Arecales; Arecaceae.
UUGCUUUUCCUUGGUUUCCUUCUAAGUUAUUUCUGAUUAGAGAUUCUUUAAUUUCUUUUGGUGUUCAAUUAGCCAAUGUUCUGCAGUCUCUAGCGUUUUCCAACUUCUUUUUUUUUUUUCUAUUUUUUUGGGCCUCUUUUUUUCCUUCCACAAUCCUCCAGCUUGAUGAAAGAGAUAUGGAUUUAUGGACUUCAUAUAUGAAACGAAAAACACUCAAUCUAAGGUGCUUUUUUUUUUCCUGGGAUAUUGGUUCAACUUUUCAAUUAAUUUAUCUGGUGGUCUAGAUUUUGAGAGUUUCAAUUCGAAAUUGGUUAAAGAAUGAAUUUUUCUGCGGAGAGGGAAGCAAAUGUGAGUUUUUUAGUUUUUUUAAAUCCAAAUGUAAGAUGAGAGGGGAAAGAGUGUGAGGCAUCUCAUGAUCCUUAUAGUGAAAGCAGAUGCGAUCACUAAAUAUUAGAUGUCUUUCCCAUAUCAAAACAGAUUUUAAUGCUUGCCUGCCUGCUUCCGCUGUGGCUCGCAAGUUUGGCUUUUCUGUUACAUGUCAUGCCAAUUUUCUUUUGAGACAGCCAUUCUUCUAGUUCUCUAGUUUUCUUGUUGUUUAUCAUCUCAUCACUAAAGUCUUUUGAAGCCAGUAGCCACAAAAUUAGGAGAAAAAAACUAUUUUAUUAAAAUAUUCUUUGCACCCUAACUCUUGCUUGAGAUUUCUCUUCUCUUUUUCCUUUUUAUCUAAAGGGAAGGUCCGAUUCUCUUCUAUCUUUUUUGGAAAAAAAGGAAAGGAAUAGGGGAAGGUCCAAUUCCACAUUUAUUACAGAAAGAAUAUCAUUUAUGUUUUGUCAAGACUCUAAAUAAAUUCGUUCUUCAGCGUUUCUUCAAUUUUUUUUUUUUUCUGUCGAGCACUUCAUGCUUAGCUAAUGGAGCUGUUGCUCGGCAAAUUCUGAGAACACAAGUAACAAGUUCUUUAAUCUGAAAAAUGGGGGAACUCGCAAGGAAAAGUUGGUAGUCGCUGCGAUCGCCAGAUGUUUGCAAGGUUUCAAAAGGUUUAUGACAAGUUAUAGAAUUUUGUUUUUCCUCUGUUUUCAUAGGCAUAACAUCCAUCUGAUAUCAAUGUGAGGGAUAAAACUUAUCAGGCAACCGGCAUUUCCUUUGGCCAAGCUUGGGUGUAAUAAUCAAGUGUUUUAAAUAGCAAUUCAACUUAACA